CCUACGGGUGGCUGCAGUGGGGAAUAUUGCACAAUGGGGGAAACCCUGAUGCAGCGACGCCGCGUGAGUGAAGAAGUAAUUCGUUAUGUAAAGCUCUAUCAGCAGGGAAGAAAAUGACGGUACCUGAGUAAGAAGCCCCGGCUAACUACGUGCCAGCAGCCGCGGUAAUACGUAGGGGGCAAGCGUUAUCCGGAUUUACUGGGUGUAAAGGGAGCGUAGACGGCAGUGCAAGUCUGGAGUGAAAGGCGGGGGCCCAACCCCGGGACUGCCCUUGGAACUGCAUGGCUGGAGUGCGGGAGGGGCAGGCGGAAUUCCUGGUGUAGCGGUGAAAUGCGUAGAUAUCAGGAGGAACACCGGCGGCGAAGGCGGCCUGCUGGACCGCGACUGACGUUGAGGCUCGAAAGCGUGGGGAGCGAACAGGAUUAGAUACCCGUGUAGUC
Molecule: ribosomal RNA, 440 nt
Filed under: uncultured bacterium
Lineage: Bacteria
Description: partial 16S ribosomal RNA
Rfam family: Bacterial small subunit ribosomal RNA
Source: RNAcentral